This 478-nucleotide ribosomal RNA is filed under the name uncultured Planctomycetales bacterium. Its description in RNAcentral is "bacterial SSU rRNA". It matches the Rfam family "Bacterial small subunit ribosomal RNA", at positions 364 to 832 of the family's 1533-position model. Lineage: Bacteria; Pseudomonadati; Planctomycetota; Planctomycetia; Planctomycetales. The record is from RNAcentral.
UUUCGCAAUGCCCGAAAGGGUGACGAAGCGACGCCGCGUGCGGGAAGAAGGCCUUCGGGUUGUAACCCGCUGUCGGGAGUUAAGAAAUGCAAGGGUGUUAAUAGUAUCCUUGCUUGACUAAGGCUCCGGAGGAAGCCACGGCUAACUCUGUGCCAGCAGCCGCGGUAAUACAGAGGCGGCAAGCGUUGUUCGGAAUUAUUGGGCGUAAAGAGCACGUAGGCGGCUGUGUAAGUCGGUUGUGAAAGCCUUCCGCUCAACGGGAGAACGGCAUCCGAUACUGCAUGGCUUGAGUGCGGGAGGGGAGAGUGGAACUUCUGGUGGAGCGGUGAAAUGCGUAGAUAUCAGAAGGAACACCGGCGGCGAAGGCGACUCUCUGGCCCGUAACUGACGCUGAGUGUGCGAAAGCUAGGGGAGCAAACGGGAUUAGAUACCCCGGUAGUCCUAGCCGUAAACGAGGGGCACUAAGUAGAGGGGUUUU